GCUGCUUGAUAGUCAAAUAAACAACAUAAAACAGAUUGCACUGAAUUUAGAUACCCCGAGCUACGUUACAUGCCAGUAAAUGCUGUCUAUAACACUUAUGAAUAUGAAUAAGUUUUUUUCUCUCGAAAUUAUAACUUGAAUAAAAUGCAUUGUUAAACAUUUAUGCAAUUUAAAAUUGGUCUAUCUGUGUCAGAAAUAAUUUGUUCUAACUAAAACCAACUGAGUAAUGCUUACUAAGACAGCUCAAAAGUAUCACCGUCUUCGCGUGUACGCUUUCAAAUAUAUUUGUACUAGAUGAAGGCAAUAGUAGUAUAUCGAAAUUCAUAAAUCGAUUGAGAAAAAAAACAAAUCCGGGUUACCAACUAUUGUUUGACAACAAUCAGAUACAAACGUUGUCUCUUGAUAAUAACGUUUACUUUUAUUUAAAAAAAACAUGUAAACGUUGAUUUUCCUCUAUAAUUAAAGCUUAUACUGUAUAUUAAAUGACGAAAGAUGCGUAAAUAAACGAACGACCCAAUGUUCAAUUUCUUCACAUAUUCCUUCACAAUAUUGUAUGUGUUCACUCAAUUGUUGAUAUUAGCAUGUAAUAAUUUAAUAUCGGGGCAUAACGUGUCCUUCGUGUCUUACUUCACGUGCUUCUUGGGCUAAAGCGCAUGGCCCACAGCACAUUGCCUGUAUACAGUCGUCACUUCCGGUUCCAUCUAUUCGUAGAUGCUUUCGUAUGAGAAAACGAACUUUUGCAAAAGCAUAUAUAUUUACAAAUGGAAUAAAAAUUAACAAUCCGCAAAGGAUGCAGUUUUUAUCUACUCUGUGUGCAGUUUUUCCAAAUAAGUAGCAUGGACAGAAAAUUGUAAGAGCACAUAUAUGUCCAUCUUCACAACAGGAGUAAAGGUCAUGUGUCCAUUCGACCAUUUCGUCAAAUAGCAGUGCAAAUAGUUAUCAAAGAUACGAGGAUUAUAAUUUAGUACGCCAGACGCGCGUUUCGUCUACACAAGACUCAUCAGUGACGCUCAUAUCAAAAUAUUUAUAAAGCCAAACAAGUACGAAGUUGAAGAGCAUUGAGGAUCCAAAAUCGUAAAAGCCUAAUAUGAAAG
This 1094-nucleotide long non-coding RNA is filed under the name Mytilus galloprovincialis (Mediterranean mussel). Lineage: Eukaryota; Metazoa; Mollusca; Bivalvia; Mytilida; Mytilidae. The record is from RNAcentral.